ACUACGGGGGGCAGCAGUGAGGAAUAUUGGUCAAUGGCCGGAAGGCUGAACCAGCCAUGCCGCGUGAAGGGCAGGGGCCUAGGGGCGUGAAACUUCUUUUGUGCGGGAGCAAGAAUGGUCACGUGUGGCCAGACGAGAGUACCGUACGAAUAAGCAGCGGCUAACUCCGUGCCAGCAGCCGCGGUAAGACGGGGGAUGCAAGCGUUAACAGGAUUUAUUGGGUUUCAAGGGUGCGUAGGCUGUGAGGUAAGUCAGCGGUGAAAUGCCCCCGCUCAACGGGGUGGAGUGCCAUUGAUACGGCCUUGCUGGACUGCGGAUGCCUUGGGAGGAAUGUGUGGUGUAGCGGUGAAAUGC
Molecule: ribosomal RNA, 354 nt
Filed under: uncultured bacterium
Lineage: Bacteria
Description: partial 16S ribosomal RNA
Rfam family: Bacterial small subunit ribosomal RNA
Source: RNAcentral